Molecule: ribosomal RNA, 466 nt
Filed under: uncultured bacterium
Lineage: Bacteria
Description: partial 16S ribosomal RNA
Rfam family: Bacterial small subunit ribosomal RNA
Source: RNAcentral
GACGAACGCUGGCGGCGCGCCUAACACAUGCAGGUCGAACGAGCGAGAGAGAGCUUGCUUUCUCGAGCGAGUGGCGAACGGGUGAGUAACGCGUGAGGAACCUGCCUCAAAGAGGGGGACAACAGUUGGAAACGACUGCUAAUACCGCAUAAGCCCACGGUGCCGCAUGGCACAGAGGGAAAAGGAGCAAUCCGCUUUGAGAUGGCCUCGCGUCCGAUUAGCUAGUUGGUGAGGUAAUGGCCCACCAAGGCGACGAUCGGUAGCCGGACUGAGAGGUUGAACGGCCACAUUGGGACUGAGACACGGCCCAGACUCCUACGGGAGGCAGCAGUGGGGAAUAUUGCACAAUGGGGGAAACCCUGAUGCAGCGACGCCGCGUGGAGGAAGAAGGUCUGCGGAUUGUAAACUCCUGUUGUUGGGGAAGAUAAUGACGGUACCCAACAAGGAAGUGACGGCUAACUACGUA